RNAcentral lists this ribosomal RNA (594 nucleotides) under Corallococcus sp. RNAcentral's name for it is "bacterial SSU rRNA". It matches the Rfam family "Bacterial small subunit ribosomal RNA", at positions 58 to 632 of the family's 1533-position model. The record is from RNAcentral. Lineage: Bacteria; Pseudomonadati; Myxococcota; Myxococcia; Myxococcales; Myxococcaceae.
CAAGUCGAGCGCGAAUAGGGGCAACCCUUAGUAGAGCGGCGCACGGGUGCGUAACACGUGGAUAAUCUGCCUGGAUGCCUGGGAUAACCAGUCGAAAGAUUGGCUAAUACCGGAUAAGCCCACGGUCUCUUCGGAGACUGAGGGAAAAGGUGGCCUCUGUAUACAAGCUAUCACAACCAGAUGAGUCCGCGGCCCAUCAGCUAGUUGGCGGGGUAAUGGCCCACCAAGGCGACGACGGGUAGCUGGUCUGAGAGGACGAUCAGCCACACUGGAACUGAGACACGGUCCAGACUCCUACGGGAGGCAGCAGUGGGGAAUUUUGCGCAAUGGGCGAAAGCCUGACGCAGCAACGCCGCGUGUGUGAUGAAGGUCUUUGGAUUGUAAAGCACUUUCGACCGGGACGAAACCGUAAAGCCUAAUACGCUUUGCCUUGACGGUACCGGGAGAAGAAGCACCGGCUAACUCUGUGCCAGCAGCCGCGGUAAUACAGAGGGUGCAAGCGUUGUUCGGAAUUAUUGGGCGUAAAGCGCGUGUAGGCGGCUUUGCAAGUCGGGUGUGAAAGCCCUCAGCUCAACUGAGGAAGUGCGCCCGAAA